Symphalangus syndactylus (siamang) is the source of this 109-nucleotide small nuclear RNA. Lineage: Eukaryota; Metazoa; Chordata; Mammalia; Primates; Hylobatidae. The record is from RefSeq and is a predicted model, not a curated record.
GUGCUCGCUUCGGCAGCACAUAUACUAAAAUUGGAACGAUACAGAGAAGAUUAGCAUGGCCCCUAGCACAAGAAUAAGGCGGCCUUCUGGUGAUAAAGCGUCUAAGGGU